This 305-nucleotide ribosomal RNA is filed under the name uncultured bacterium. RNAcentral's name for it is "bacterial SSU rRNA". It matches the Rfam family "Bacterial small subunit ribosomal RNA", at positions 337 to 639 of the family's 1533-position model. The record is from RNAcentral.
GCCUACGGGACGCAGCAGUGAGGAAUAUUGGUCAAUGGGCGGAAGCCUGAACCAGCCAAGUCGCGUGAGGGAAUAAGGCCCUACGGGUCGUAAACCUCUUUUGCCGGGGAGCAAGGGCGGGGAUGUGUCCCGGCCCGGAGAGUACCCGGAGAAAAAGCAUCGGCUAACUCCGUGCCAGCAGCCGCGGUAAUACGGAGGAUGCGAGCGUUAUCCGGAUUUAUUGGGGUUAAAGGGUGCGUAGGCGGGCUUUUAAGUCAGCGGUAAAAAUUCGGGGCUCAACCCCGGCCGGCCGUUGAAACUGGGGG